This is a long non-coding RNA of Neoarius graeffei (lesser salmon catfish), 479 nucleotides long. RefSeq lists it as uncharacterized. Lineage: Eukaryota; Metazoa; Chordata; Actinopteri; Siluriformes; Ariidae. The record is from RefSeq and is a predicted model, not a curated record. The transcript has 4 exons.
GACAAGUCCACGAGAGAGAGAGAGAGCGCAUUGGGGAGAGGAGCAUUGCAGUCAUAUCCAACUAACUCAAGUCUCAUUUUCAUGCACAGGGACCAGACCUGGCAACAUUUCCGAUCCGGAGGUCAUAAACCAGCCAAACAAGACAACACGGCACCACCAACCACCAGCAGCCCCAGUACACACAGCGCUGCAGCAAACCUGGUGUUGUACAAGUGGAAGAGAUGAGCUGUGGAGAACCAUAGUGCACCACCUCAGCUCCGCAUGCCCCUGCUCUCCUGUUUAUUUCUCUUGGCUCUCUAUCAGAAACUGACUCAUCAGAUAAGCGACCCUGAAAUCCCCAUUCCCAGACUUCAUGAGAAAUGUUCUUCUGCAACUCAUCAGAAGCCAAAAGUGUUUAUAUCCAGGCAAAAGUACAGCAGGAACAUUCUCCAUGACUUUAUUGCACUCCCUUCCUUUGGGGACAGAAAAAAAGGAUAUUU